AACGAACGCUGGCGGCAUGCCUAACACAUGCAAGUCGAACGCAGUAGCAAUACUGAGUGGCGGACGGGUGAGGAACACGUGGGAACAUGCCGAAUGGUGGGGGAUAACUGCGGGAAACUGCAGCUAAUACCGCAUAAGCCCUGAGGGGGAAAGAUUUAUCGCCAUUCGAUUGGCCCGCGGCAGAUUAGGUAGUUGGUAGGGUAAAGGCCUACCAAGCCGAUGAUCUGUAACUGGUCUGAGAGGAUGACCAGUCACACUGGGACUGAGACACGGCCCAGACUCCUACGGGAGGCAGCAGUGGGGAAUAUUGGACAAUGGGGGAAACCCUGAUCCAGCAAUGCCGCGUGAGUGAAGAAGGCCUUCGGGUUGUAAAGCUCUUUUGCCUGUGACGAUGAUGACAGUAACAGGAGAAUAAGCCCCGGCUAACUCCGUG
Molecule: ribosomal RNA, 433 nt
Filed under: uncultured bacterium
Lineage: Bacteria
Also listed under: 1 other name
Description: bacterial SSU rRNA
Rfam family: Bacterial small subunit ribosomal RNA
Source: RNAcentral